RNAcentral lists this long non-coding RNA (2150 nucleotides) under Aplysia californica (California sea hare). RNAcentral's name for it is "uncharacterized LOC118478940". The record is from RNAcentral. Lineage: Eukaryota; Metazoa; Mollusca; Gastropoda; Aplysiida; Aplysiidae.
AAGGUAACGUCUGACUUCAUUGCAAUUUGUGAUACAGAAGAAAAAGUAAAUUUCGAUGAUGUUUUUGUAUGACAUUAUCAAAUCACGUCAAAUGUCGACGGUACAUGGUCAGUGGCAGUGGGAAGGCCUACACAAAACCUGACAGUUGAAUCGGGCAGUGAAGCGGAGUUUGCGAGUCAGUGCGCUCCUCGGCGGGCUCGGGCGUGCAGAAGAACUUCAAAUUCAAGAAGCAGCACUUGGCUCCCCACCUGGCCGAAUACAUUUGGCACCGAACAACGACGACACCAAAAGUAAAUUUGUGCGUUUCCUGAAAGAAAUCAGCAAGGUGUACCCUGGACUGGACGCCUGAGAAGGUCUGUGCAAAAACUCAGGAUGGACUCUCUGUCUCUCUCUGAGCAACCAUAGAGAGAGAUGACUAGACUGACCACUCACUGUCUGGUGGCCAUGAGACCACGCAACGGUCAUCGACUUUGAACGAGGGGAGGGGUGAGCUCAAGGAUGGACUGAAGCUGGGACAGAGGAAUGACUGACUGACCUCCACAUUGGCCACUGACAGAAGAGAGGAACAGACAGUGUCAGCGGAGGAGAAGUUACCGUAACAAACAGUUCUCUGGACAUUCCACGGAACAUCAGACAGCAGCGACAUGGUGAAGACUAUAACUUGCUGAAUAUUUACAUUGUAAUCUGAAGCAGUUAUGAAUGAACCUCCGACCACCCGCUCAAACUCUACAGUUUACUACUGCUACUGCAUAAGUUAGCAGAGGGGGAGGGGGGGGCAGCAUUCUCCGACCGCCCACUCAAACUCUACUACUACUAUAAGUCUGCACCCUCCAGCCGCCCAAACUCUACUUGCAUGUGAGCAAAUAUUUAUUUGUACAGUUAUUGUUCAGUUGUGAUGAUGUAGGCUACUUGGAGAUUUCUGUACUGUACAGUAACUGUUAGAAGUACAUGUAAUCCAGUCUGAGGGAGAACCCUGAAGUAAAUAAUUAAAACAACAAACGACACAGUGUCAUGGCCACUUUGGGCCCAAGAAAACCUGCGGGUCUCUCUAGAAGAGAUGAAGUUGUAUUUAAAGUUGCUCCUCCCCAACCCUUUGGUACCUCCUGCAGAAUGAUGAAAAACCCUUCUGUUGUCGGAGGCGAUACAGAUUUCACCAUUAGACACAUACUAACGGAAUGUCCAGAUUUCUGAAGAGCCCGAAGGAAAUAUUUUAAAUGUACUGUUCUCCCUAGUUGAUCCCAACAGGCCAUUGUUGAUCUCAACUGGCCUUUGGCCUUUACACAAUGAUGUAAAUACUGUACACAGACAUCGACUUACGUUUAGAUUAGAUCUACUUCUCUAACAGUUUUUUUUGUAUUUUUACACAAGAGGCAAUAAUUGCCGAACAAAUAACUUGAGUUUUGUCCUAAAGCACAGGUCUGUCAUGCACUAAUGUGAUCAGAACGUCUGUGUCUACGUCCUCCGCGAUAAGAACAGUGCUGAGAAACCACGUGUUUGGUAGGGAAUGUGUGCGGGAACUGUGACAGUGAUGGCUGAUCGUUGACUUGUAUGAACACACUAUAAGAGUCCAGUGUAUGUUUCAUGCCGUAAACAGCACUUCGCUGUGCUGGUGUGAAAUAUACAUAGUAGUAGUAGAGAUGCCUUGGUCAAUAAGUAUGAAAGUGGCCAUAGACUGUAGUGGUUAUUUCAAUGCACGGCGGACUGUGUUUGGUCGAUGAGUGUGAAAAAGGCCUCACAGUUUAGAAAGUUUUCAGCAGGUCAUCACUCGGUGGGGCAGAGCGCUGCAAUCCAACCACGGACUCUUGGUAUUUGUUCAGCAGUUAUUGCCUCUGAUGUAAAUACAAAACAGAUGACUACUGUAAUUAUAUUAUUUAAAAAAAAGAAGAGAUCUGAACACAAAUGUGUAAAUUUGAAAUGUAAUUUUAAUUAACAAGAAUUGGGGACACGGGCAUGAAAUAUAGACUAACUUUGCAAUACAUGACAUAUCCUGUGGAUAAAUGACAGAUCAUUGUACAUGUGCAUGUCAUGUUUCUGUAUAAAAUCACUGUGCUACUGUUUUAAGAAGUAGCAUAAGUUUAAGUGGGAGGUUGGAAGGUGUAGUAGAAGUAAACUUACAGUGGGUGGUUAGAGGGUGUAAUAGUAGUUAGAGA